This 76-nucleotide transfer RNA is filed under the name Desulfobacterales bacterium. RNAcentral describes it as "tRNA-Arg". It matches the Rfam family "tRNA". From Rfam's summary of the family: Transfer RNA (tRNA) molecules are approximately 80 nucleotides in length. The record is from RNAcentral. Lineage: Bacteria; Pseudomonadati; Thermodesulfobacteriota; Desulfobacteria; Desulfobacterales.
GCGCCCAUAGCUCAGUGGAAAGAGCGCCGGACUACGAAUCCGUAGGUCGCAGGUUCAAAUCCUGCUGGGCGCACCA